AUAUCUAUAAGCGGAGGAAAAGAAACUAACAAGGAUUCCCCUAGUAACUGCGAGUGAAGAGGGAAAAGCUCAAUUUAAAAUCUGGCAGUCUUUGAUUGUCCGAGUUGUAAUUUAGAGAAGUGUUACCCGUGUUGGACCGUGUACAAGUUUCCUGGAAUGGAACGUCAUAGAGGGUGAGAAUCCCGUCUUUGACACGGAUCCCAAUGCAUUGUGGUAUACUUUCGAAGAGUCGAGUUGUUUGGGAAUGCAGCUCUAAAUGGGUGGUAAAUUCCAUCUAAAGCUAAAUAUUGGGGAGAGACCGAUAGCGAACAAGUACCGUGAGGGAAAGAUGAAAAGAACUUUGGAAAGAGAGUUAAACAGUACGUGAAAUUGCUAAAAGGGAAACGCUUGAAGUCAGUCGCGUUGUUCAGGGAUCAGCCUUCCUUUUGGUUGGUGUACUUCCUGUUUAACGGGUCAGCAUCAGUUUUGAUCAAUGGAUAAAAGUGAGAGGAAUGUGGCAUCUUCGGGUGUGUUAUAGCCUUUUAUUGUAUACAUUGGUUGGGACUGAGGAACUCAGCACGCCGCAAGGCCGGGUUUUUAACCACGUUCGUGCUUAGGAUGCUGGCA
RNAcentral lists this ribosomal RNA (606 nucleotides) under Gymnopus inexpectatus. RNAcentral's name for it is "LSU rRNA". It matches the Rfam family "Eukaryotic large subunit ribosomal RNA", at positions 40 to 631 of the family's 3401-position model. Lineage: Eukaryota; Fungi; Basidiomycota; Agaricomycetes; Agaricales; Omphalotaceae. The record is from RNAcentral.